ACCCCUCCGCAUGCAUGUGCACCGACUGUUGCUAUCGUGUCUCUAUUCUGAAGAAAGGGGGAGUGGGAGCAAGAGGGAUCAAAGAGUGAGAGAGAGAGAGCGCGAACAGGUCUUCGAUCUUCAAUCGUCUUUGAUUUUCAUCCAUCACUGCUUAACCCAAUUGAUCCCUUUCUCAUUUCAAUUAACUACAUGGGAAAACUGAUUAAGGUUACGGCAUUUGCAGAGAAGAGUUUUCAGGCCUGCGAUCACUGUUGAGGUCCAAAAGACAAGUCUCCUGUUUUGCAUAUUGUUAUUGUUGGUCUUUCAAGUGAUUUAUCUCUCAGAUCAGUUGUGUUCUAGGGUUGGAGCUUGAAGGCUAUUCAAAAAGUUUGAAAGACGUUUGGAGAGUUGAGGAUUCUGCUGCGAGGACUUUUGCCGGCAUAAAUUCUAUUACUGUUAUGAGGUAGGAUGUACAUAACGUAAUGAAUGAGUUCUAAAGAAAAUAAAGUUGAAUUGAGCUUAUGUGAAUACAAAUGUCAUUGCAUCCUAGCUGAAAAGAAAAGCUGCUCAAAUUGCUGAAAAGGAAGUUCAUAAUACGAAGUUGCAACACAAAACUCCUAGAAUUGCUCGAUUGUAAAAAUUGCUCCACUGUUUGGUGUUUUAUUUUUUUGUAAUGAAUAAAAAAUUAGAGGUACAAAGAAAAGAGAGGACAAAAGUUUGUAAUGAAUAGUUUCACAGUUUUGAUAGUUUUAAUAUUGGAUCAAAUCAAUGAAUAAUAUUCAUUGCUCCCGCGGCAACGCGCGGG
This is a long non-coding RNA of Rosa rugosa (rugosa rose), 784 nucleotides long. RefSeq lists it as uncharacterized. NCBI's taxonomy places the organism in Eukaryota, Viridiplantae, Streptophyta, Magnoliopsida, Rosales, Rosaceae. The transcript has 4 exons. The record is from RefSeq and is a predicted model, not a curated record.